RNAcentral lists this ribosomal RNA (253 nucleotides) under uncultured bacterium. RNAcentral's name for it is "partial 16S ribosomal RNA". It matches the Rfam family "Bacterial small subunit ribosomal RNA", at positions 524 to 776 of the family's 1533-position model. The record is from RNAcentral.
UACAGGGGGUGCAAGCGUUAAUCGGAAUUACUGGGCGUAAAGAGUGCGUAGGUGGUUGGAUAAGUUAGGUGUGAAAUCCCUGGGCUCAACCUAGGAACUGCGCUUAAAACUGUUCGGCUAGAGUAUUGUAGAGGAUAGUGGAAUUUCCAGUGUAGCGGUGAAAUGCGUAGAUAUUGGAAGGAACACCAGUGGCGAAGGCGACUAUCUGGGCAAAUACUGACACUGAGGCACGAAAGCAUGGGGAGCGAACGGG